UGGGGAAUUUUGCACAAUGGGGGAAACCCUGAUGCAGCGACGCCGCGUGAUUUAGAAGGCCUUCGGGUUGUAAAAAUCUUUUCUAUGGGAAGAAAAUGACAGUACCAUAGGAAUAAGGACUGGCUAAUUACGUGCCAGCAGCCGCGGUAAUACGUAAGGUCCGAGCGUUGUCCGGAAUCAUUGGGCGUAAAGGGUACGUAGGCGGGUAAGCAAGUUAGAAGUGAAAUCCUGUAGCUCAACUACAGUAAGCUUUUAAAACUGCUCAUCUUGAGAUAUGGAAGGGAAAGUGGAAUUCCUAGUGUAGCGGUGAAAUGCGCAGAUAUUAGGAGGAAUACCGGUGGCGAAGGCGACUUUAUGGACAUAAUCUGACGCUGACGUAUGACAGCGUGGGUAGCAAACAGG
Molecule: ribosomal RNA, 402 nt
Filed under: Verrucomicrobiota bacterium
Lineage: Bacteria; Pseudomonadati; Verrucomicrobiota
Description: Verrucomicrobia bacterium partial 16S ribosomal RNA
Rfam family: Bacterial small subunit ribosomal RNA
Source: RNAcentral